GCCGCUCAAAGGUGAGUUUUUCCGGUCGCCGUUCGUCGGCGCGUUUGAAUUCUGCCCGUUGCAGUUCGCAUGGUCAUACGGGCCGAGCAGGUGGUCUGCUACGUGCGAGUCCUGUGAAGGUUCCGCAGGCCCAUACAGGGCCAGCGGGCCGUGUCUGUUUCGGAUCGCAUGGUCUGCUACGUGCGAGUCCUGGGAACAUUUCGCAAGCCCGUACGAGGCCGGCGGGGCUUGUCAUUCGAAGUUGGUCCCCUGCUGGGCGUUCUCUGCCUGAUGGCAAUACGGGCCUGGCAGGAACAGGAACGGCAGGUAAUGUGAUCUCAGGGAUUCGUUCUGCUGGGAUUGCGUUCUGGCGGCUUCUCGGCCGAGUCUGGUGUAGUUCGGCUCCGCGUGCCCCGAUUGUCUCUCCUGCCGAAGCUAAGAUGGCGUUCCGCGGAGGUGGUCGUGGGGGCGGAGAGUAUCAAGGGGGCGAUUGAUUUUAUGAUCGUGAUCGGCGUGGCUACGGUGGAGGUGGCAGCAGGGGUAGUUUCAACGAGGGCUAUGGUGACAACGAGGGCUAUGGUGAUGGCCGGGAGGAUUUUGGUCGUGAGGACUUUGGUGGCUACAAUGGUGAUCGCUUCUCCAACGGAUGAGACGGUGAUGGUUCGCUGGCCCCGGUGGACCUCCACGUUACGGAGAUGGUGGUGGGAAUUGGCGGCGCUAUGAAUUCCGCGCCGGUCGUGGCUCUACGGGUCAUGGUCGUGGUCUUCCACCGGCUCGCGGUCUUGGCGGCUGUGCUGGCCGUGGUGGAGGUGGCGGUAAGGGCGCUGCUGCAACUUCGACCUCGGCUGGCGUGACGGCCGUGGCGGAGACAGGAGCUACAAAUGCCUCUGCCUCUGCGACAGGGGUAGUGUCCGGGGAAGGCCAAGCUGCAGCGGUAGCCAGUGCUCCCUUGGCCGCUGUUGUUCCCGUGGUGUCUUCGGCUGGACUGGGGGGGGGGGGGUGCGCAGCAGUCGGGUGGGGGAGUGCUGCUGGCAGCAGCAGCUUCUCUCACUGCUACUGAGGUUCCCGAAACGUCGGGCGUGUCCAAACCAGCGAAAAAAGCUAGCAAGGUGAAGUGCUAUAGAUGCAACCAAUCGGGUCAUUUCUCUGCUGAUUGUACAACUCUUGUUUGUGAUAUUUGCGAGUCUGCAGCUCACUUGAAAGAUGUGUGCCCGUUGUUGUCGGCGCCGAAGCAACAAGUGAUCAUGCACGGUUUUGGGGAGACUUUGUUGUUCUUUGAGCUGCCAGUGUCAGACUCUUUUAGGCCUCGCCGGGAGAGUGGCAGAGUUGGGUUAAUUUCUGUGUCAGGAGGUAGCUUGUCUGUUGAGCUGGUUACCUCGCUUCUGCAGUGGUUGGUGCUGACUGAAAAUUUUCAAUGGGAGGUGAACUUGUAUGAGAAAGAUGUGUUCAAGGCUGGUUUCCCUUCGAAGGCUGAGCUCCAGCGAAUGACUCGGUCUGGCAUGUUUUCUGUCCCUACUAGUCCGUGCGCAAUUACUUUCUCUGAUUGGUGUGCGAAAGUUGAGCCUGAAUGGAGUUUACAGGAGGUGUGGGUGCGGGUGACCGGUAUCCCGCCUGAUAUCUUAGGUGAUUAUGUCACUAUGUGGGGAGUUGGAUCUUUGUUGGGCAAGACCAAGGAGGUCGACAUGCCGUAUACUCGGAGGCAUGGGGUUCUUCACAUUUUGGUUUCUUGUACAGAUUACAGAAGCAUACCUAAGGAAAAAGAUGUGCUUAUCAGGGGCAGUGGAUAUGUGCUUGGUUUUCAGGUGGAGGCACCCGUGGGUUUGAUUGAUCCGGUUGACACUAAAAUGGCCGAUGCUCAUGACGAUGAUACGGAUGGGGGUGAUAAGGCUGAGAAGAAUGAGACCAUUUUUGAUCAAAUCGCAAAUCGACCCUAAAGAUAAUUCUAAAAUACAUGAUGCUAAUGGGUCCUCGUCGUCAACAAGUGGAGGUGGUACAGCCCCGGGUGGGACACAAUUUGCUUCUACUGUGUUUCCUGCUAUCCGCUUCGGAUCUUUUGCUUUGGAGCCGACUCCGCGGUCUUGUGUGUCGGCUUCGCGUCCAUGCU
Molecule: long non-coding RNA, 2083 nt
Filed under: Brachypodium distachyon (stiff brome)
Lineage: Eukaryota; Viridiplantae; Streptophyta; Magnoliopsida; Poales; Poaceae
Description: long non-coding RNA (BDIS_LNC004591)
Source: RNAcentral